AACUUUUUGGCAGAAAAUUGCACUAGAUUUAGAAUCU
Molecule: transfer RNA, 37 nt
Filed under: Clitaetra irenae
Lineage: Eukaryota; Metazoa; Arthropoda; Arachnida; Araneae; Nephilidae
Description: tRNA-Leu
Source: RNAcentral